GUCAACACUCAACAUCCGUGAACAUUCCAUCCGGGAAGAGAAUUCAACGAGGAAUGUUAAUAUUAUUGAUCUUCCCGGUCAAGAUAAAGAUAACUCUUAUUUCGAUAUGUGUGUCCGGCUGGAUCGCCCUUUCAUCCACACAUGCCAUGAUGGUAGCUGGGUUCUGCCCCAAGGGAAGAAUAUACGGACAAGGUGAAACGGGGUUCACUAGAAUACAAUAAUGAUUUUCCGAUCAGGCGGAAAAUUAUCCUAACAGCGCAAUAUCGAUGACGGUGAGCUAAUGGAAGAACUUGUAAUAGACAGAAGAUUGACGAACUGAACAAAGAAAAUGUUAAAAUUAUGUUCCGGAAAUAUGGG
Long non-coding RNA from Uranotaenia lowii, 357 nucleotides. RefSeq lists it as uncharacterized. The record is from RefSeq and is a predicted model, not a curated record. The transcript has 3 exons. NCBI's taxonomy places the organism in Eukaryota, Metazoa, Arthropoda, Insecta, Diptera, Culicidae.